GUUGAACGCUGGCGGCGGGCCUAACACAUGCAAGUCGAGCGGACAGAGGAAGAUCGCUCCUGGAUUACGCGGCGGGCGGGUGAGUGAUGAAUAGGAGUAUACCCGGUCGAGGGGGAUGACGUAAGUAAACGAGAGCUAAUAUAGCAUCCGACAAGAGAUUGAACGGGGUGGAUCAUUAGAGAACGAGGUAUCAGAUGAGACUAGGUCGGAUUAGCUAGUUGGUGGGGUAAAGGCUUACCAAGGCGACGAUCCGUAACCGGCCUGAGAGGAUGAUCAGCCACACUGGAACUGAGACACGGUCCAGACUCCUACGGGAGGCAGCAGUAGGGAAUCUUGCGCAAUGGGCGAAAGCCUGACCCAGCCACGCCGCGUGUGUGAAGAAGGUCUUCGGAUUGUAAAGCUCUGUUAGUUGGGAAGAAGAGCAGUGUGUGUAUACCUGCCCGUCUUGACGGUACCAACAGAGAAAGCACCGGCUAACUACGUG
RNAcentral lists this ribosomal RNA (484 nucleotides) under uncultured bacterium. RNAcentral describes it as "partial 16S ribosomal RNA". It matches the Rfam family "Bacterial small subunit ribosomal RNA", at positions 28 to 507 of the family's 1533-position model. The record is from RNAcentral.